CCUACGGGAGGCAGCAGUGGGGAAUAUUGGACAAUGGGCGAAAGCCUGAUCCAGCCAUGCCGCAUGUGUGAAGAAGGCCUUCGGGUUGUAAAGCACUUUCAGUGGGGAAGAAAGCCUUGGGGCUAAUACCCUCGAGGAAGGACAUCACCCACAGAAGAAGCACCGGCUAACUCCGUGCCAGCAGCCGCGGUAAUACGGAGGGUGCGAGCGUUAAUCGGAAUUACUGGGCGUAAAGCGCGCGUAGGCGGUCUGAUAAGCCGGUUGUGAAAGCCCCGGGCUCAACCUGGGAACGGCAUCCGGAACUGUCAGGCUAGAGUGCAGGAGAGGAAGGUAGAAUUCCCGGUGUAGCGGUGAAAUGCGUAGAGAUCGGGAGGAAUACCAGUGGCGAAGGCGGCCUUCUGGACUGACACUGACGCUGAGGUGCGAAAGCGUGGGUAGCAAACAGGAUUAGAUACCCUGGUAGUC
Molecule: ribosomal RNA, 465 nt
Filed under: Vreelandella stevensii
Lineage: Bacteria; Pseudomonadati; Pseudomonadota; Gammaproteobacteria; Oceanospirillales; Halomonadaceae
Description: partial 16S ribosomal RNA
Rfam family: Bacterial small subunit ribosomal RNA
Source: RNAcentral